UGCAAGUCGAGCGGUAAGGCCUUUCGGGGUACACGAGCGGCGAACGGGUGAGUAAAANGGGGGGGAUCUGCCCUGCACUCUGGGAUAAGCUUGGGAAANUGGGACUAAUACCGGAUAUGACCGCAUGCCGCAUGGUGUGUGGUGGAAAGAUUUAUCGGUGCAGGAUGGGCCCGCGGCCUAUCAGCUUGUUGGUGGGGUAAUGGCCUACCAAGGCGACGACGGGUAGCCGACCUGAGAGGGUGACCGGCCACACUGGGACUGAGACACGGCCCAGACUCCUACGGGAGGCAGCAGUGGGGAAUAUUGCACAAUGGGCGGAAGCCUGAUGCAGCGACGCCGCGUGAGGGAUGAAGGCCUUCGGGUUGUAAACCUCUUUCAGCAGGGACGAAGCGUGAGUGACGGUACCUGCAGAAGAAGCACCGGCUAACUACGUGCCAGCAGCCGCGGUAAUACGUAGGGUGCGAGCGUUGUCCGGAAUUACUGGGCGUAAAGAGUUCGUAGGCGGUUUGUCGCGUCGUUUGUGAAAACCCGGGGCUCAACUUCGGGCUUGCAGGCGAUACGGGCAGACUUGAGUGUUUCAGGGGAGACUGGAAUUCCUGGUGUAGCGGUGAAAUGCGCAGAUAUCAGGAGGAACACCGGUGGCGAAGGCGGGUCUCUGGGAAACAACUGACGCUGAGGAACGAAAGCGUGGGUAGCAAACAGGAUUAGAUACCCUGGUAGUCCACGCCGUAAACGGUGGGCGCUAGGUGUGGGUUCCUUCCACGGGAUCUGUGCCGUAGCUAACGCAUUAAGCGCCCCGCCUGGGGAGUACGGCCGCAAGGCUAAAACUCAAAAGGAAUUGACGGGGGCCCGCACAAGCGGCGGAGCAUGUGGAUAAAUCGAUGCAACGCGAAGAACCUUUACUGGGUUUGACAUACACCGGAAAACC
Molecule: ribosomal RNA, 928 nt
Filed under: bacterium KR 1979/121_55f
Lineage: Bacteria
Description: bacterial SSU rRNA
Rfam family: Bacterial small subunit ribosomal RNA
Source: RNAcentral